AGAAUCAACGCUGGCGGCGUGCCUAACACAUGCAAGUCGAACGAGAAAGUGGUAGCAAUACCAUGAGUAAAGUGGCGCACGGGUGAGUAACACGUGACUAACCUACCCUGGAGUGGGGGAUAACUGAGGGAAACCUUAGCUAAUACCGCAUAAUACCUACGGGUCAAAGGAGCAAUUCGCUUCAGGAGGGGGUCGCGGCAGAUUAGCUAGUUGGCGGGGUAAUGGCCCACCAAGGCAGUGAUCUGUAUCCGGCCUGAGAGGGCGCACGGACACACUGGAACUGAAACACGGUCCAGACUCCUACGGGAGGCAGCAGUGGGGAAUUUUGCGCAAUGGGGGAAACCCUGACGCAGCAACGCCGCGUGGAGGAUGAAGUCCCUCGGGACGUAAACUCCUUUCGAUCGGGACGAUAAUGACGGUACCGAGAGAAGAAGCCCCGGCUAACUUCGUGCCAGCAGCCGC
This 462-nucleotide ribosomal RNA is filed under the name uncultured bacterium. RNAcentral describes it as "SSU rRNA". It matches the Rfam family "Bacterial small subunit ribosomal RNA", at positions 26 to 518 of the family's 1533-position model. The record is from RNAcentral.